UAGGGAAUCUUCCGCAAUGGGCGAAAGCCUGACGGAGCAACGCCGCGUGAGUGAUGAAGGUCUUCGGAUCGUAAAACUCUGUUAUUAGGGAAGAACAAAUGUGUAAGUAACUAUGCACGUCUUGACGGUACCUAAUCAGAAAGCCACGGCUAACUACGUGCCAGCAGCCGCGGUAAUACGUAGGUGGCAAGCGUUAUCCGGAAUUAUUGGGCGUAAAGCGCGCGUAGGCGGUUUUUUAAGUCUGAUGUGAAAGCCCACGGCUCAACCGUGGAGGGUCAUUGGAAACUGGAAAACUUGGGUGCAGAAGAGGAAAGUGGAAUUCCAUGUGUAGCGGUGAAAUGCGCAGGGCUAUGGAGGAACACCAGUGGCGAAGGCGACUUUCUGGUCUGUAACUGACGCUGAUGUGCGAAAGCGUGGAGAUCAAACAGG
This 429-nucleotide ribosomal RNA is filed under the name Actinomycetes bacterium. RNAcentral describes it as "Actinobacteria bacterium partial 16S ribosomal RNA". It matches the Rfam family "Bacterial small subunit ribosomal RNA", at positions 355 to 776 of the family's 1533-position model. Lineage: Bacteria; Bacillati; Actinomycetota; Actinomycetes. The record is from RNAcentral.